GUACCCUAGGGGAGUUCGAGGUAUCCAAUUCUAUAGGGAGAGCUUAGCCAAACAUACCUUAAUCAAUCCUCAUCAGGGUUCCUACUAGGUUCCACUACUUGUAAUACCUCAAUCUAAAUCACAAAAAUUUAAUUAAACCAACAUUAGUGAGAGUUUCUAUAUUUUAAGUAUUUUAGGCAUUUUAUCAAACACCUAAGGGCAUAGCCUUUUACCACAUCUAGUAAUGGUGCUUUCUCAUCCUUCACAUCUUUUUCAUAACUACGUUCAUAUCCAUAGCCACCAUUAGGUAGUAUGAGACCUUCAACAAUACACGUAUGGCCACCCAUACUACACCCAACCAACAAUUACAUCAAAUAAUACUUUUUCCCAACUCUCCACAAUACUCAAUCUCAGGUUGGGAACUUAUGGCUUUCAAUCACCAUCCCAUAAGCUCCAAUCCUCAAAUUCUACCUACAAUUAAAUCAUUCGAAAAUGAAUAAGAGCUUGGAAUGAAGCCUUACCUUGAUAGAAGAAGACCUUGUAAAUUUCUCCCCUCAAAUCUCCAAGAACUGGGCAAGGAAUUGAAGUGUUGAAGUGUGGAGCUCCUCCUCUCUCUCUAAGAUGGUUCUCUCUCUCAAAAUGAUCACAUUUCUCUUUCUAAAACAACUUCUAUGCCUUUUAUUAGAAAAAGAGUCGGGUAAGAGAUUUUUCAAAAACCCUCUUCGAAGUAUAUAUGCGGUCGCGAAAUGGACCGCAUAUCGGUUUUGCAGUCCGCGAAAGGGAGGUCCUCCAAAUUACCAAAAUGAUCUGGUCGGAUAUGCGGUGAUUCUGUGAUUGAGGACUUUGGAGCGCAUCUUGGUGGAUUUGAAUAUUUUGUCAUCUCGAGGCAAGUGAAAACUUUUACUAUUAGGUUAUUUGCUUUUCAUAAAAAGCAACUUAUUUAUGUUGUAUGUAUGCUUUUUAACUAUCUAGUUUGUGUGUGCAAGCAUAAGCUAGAUUAGUUAAUUUCAGAGUAUCUGACAUACACUACAAGGGUUGUACUAUGUGUAUUUAUACUUUUAUGAUACUUUUAGCAAUUUAUGGUUGCGAUAUUUGUUUA
Long non-coding RNA from Nicotiana attenuata, 1078 nucleotides. RefSeq lists it as uncharacterized. The transcript is spliced from 2 exons. The record is from RefSeq and is a predicted model, not a curated record. Lineage: Eukaryota; Viridiplantae; Streptophyta; Magnoliopsida; Solanales; Solanaceae.